Molecule: unclassified non-coding RNA, 240 nt
Filed under: uncultured Mortierella
Lineage: Eukaryota; Fungi; Mortierellomycota; Mortierellomycetes; Mortierellales; Mortierellaceae
Description: sequence contains ITS2
Source: RNAcentral
ACAACCUCAACUCCCCUCUCUUUGCGGAAAGGGUUGUUGGAUUUGAGCACUUUCCACCAAGUUCACAUUGUGGACUUGGAGGAUGCUUGAAAUAUGAGGUUCGGCUGGCAAUUGCCUGGGCUACAAGCAUUUCAUACUUAAUCCCGUCAAACGGAUUAUAUCCUUUGCUGCAGCCAACAUACAGGGCAACUGUCCAGUUCCGACUGAUGCAGGAAAGUUGAGGACUUGUUCCUCUUCGAA